GAUGAACGCUGGCGGCGUGCCUAAUACAUGCAAGUCGAGCGAACGGACGAGAAGCUUGCUUCUCUGAUGUUAGCGGCGGACGGGUGGGUAACACGUGGAUAACCUACCUAUAAGACUGGGAUAACUUCGGGAAACCGGAGCUAAUACCGGAUAAUAUUUUGAACCGCAUGGUUCAAAAGUGAAAGACGGUCUUUCUGUCACUUAUAGAUCGAUCCGCCCUGCAUUAGCUAGUUGGUAAGGUAACGGCUUACCAAGGCAACGAUGCAGAGCCGACCUGAGAGGGUGAUCGGCCACACUGGAACUGAGAAACGGUCCAGACUCCUACGGGAGGCAGCAGUAGGGAAUCUUCCGCAAUGGGCGAAAGCCUGACGGAGCAACGCCGCGUGAGUGAUGAAGGUCUUCGGAUCGUAAAACUCUGUUAUUAGGGAAGAACAUAUGUGUAAGUAACUGUGCACAUCUUGACGGUACCUAAUCAGAAAGCCACGGCUAACUACGUG
This 497-nucleotide ribosomal RNA is filed under the name uncultured bacterium. RNAcentral describes it as "partial 16S ribosomal RNA". It matches the Rfam family "Bacterial small subunit ribosomal RNA", at positions 28 to 507 of the family's 1533-position model. The record is from RNAcentral.